This is a non-coding RNA of Labrus bergylta (ballan wrasse), 403 nucleotides long. The record is from RefSeq and is a predicted model, not a curated record. Lineage: Eukaryota; Metazoa; Chordata; Actinopteri; Labriformes; Labridae.
GAUUGACUUGGAGCCAGAGGGGAAGGUGUACGUGGUCAUUGAUCUGUCUGGAUCCUCCACUGAAGCUUCAGGAACCAAUGACAAUGAGGAGCGAGUGUUUCGAGAAAGGAUCGGUCCUCGCCGGCGACAGGGCGCCGUCCGAAGACGCGUCCAUCAAGUCAAUGGACACAAGUUCAUGGCCACCUACCUGAGACAACCCACCUACUGCUCACACUGCAGAGAUUUUAUCUGGGGCGUGCUGGGGAAGCAGGGAUACCAGUGUCAGGUGUGUACGUGUGUCGUCCACAAGCGCUGCCAUGAGCUCAUCAUCACCAAGUGUGCCGGGAUGAAGAAGCAGGAGGACACACCGGACGAGGUGGGUUCACAGCGGUUCAGUGUUAACAUGCCUCAUAAGUUCAGUAUA